AUAAAUGAUAAAAACUUGUCAAUACAAAAAGCUCAGUUAUAAACCAAGCUUUUCAAUAAAUUAGUAAUCUUUGGUGUCUGGAUUAGGUACUGGUGUUAACC
Molecule: small nucleolar RNA, 101 nt
Filed under: Streptococcus porcinus str. Jelinkova 176
Lineage: Bacteria; Bacillati; Bacillota; Bacilli; Lactobacillales; Streptococcaceae
Source: RNAcentral